Molecule: long non-coding RNA, 274 nt
Filed under: Elaeis guineensis (African oil palm)
Lineage: Eukaryota; Viridiplantae; Streptophyta; Magnoliopsida; Arecales; Arecaceae
Description: long non-coding RNA (EGUI_LNC055289)
Source: RNAcentral
GGGGCGUGAGGAAGGGUUCUGCACAAGGUGAAGGUCCAAAACCUUCCGAGAGAAAAAGAAAGAAAAGAGAGAAAAUUGGGCGCAGGGUUUUUGGUGUGUACCCUAGGGUUUCUACCUAGGGUUCGGGAAGUGAGAUUGGUGUGCCAUGAAUGUCGUGAGUCUACUAAAUUUUACGGAGAGAUCCAUCAGCCUCUCAAGCAACUGUACAGAUGAUCUGGAGCAUCCGAGAAGUCAGCACACAUCGAUCGAAGGAGUUCGAUCAAUAUCUGCCAUC